CAGAGGGUGCAAGCGUUAAUCGGAAUUACUGGGCGUAAAGCGCGCGUAGGUGGUUGGGUAAGUCGAUUGUGAAAUCCCCGGGCUUAACCUGGGAAUUGCAGUCGAUACUGCCUGGCUAGAGUGUGGAAGAGGGAAGCGGAAUUUCCGGUGUAGCGGUGAAAUGCGUAGAUAUCGGAAGGAACACCAGUGGCGAAGGCGGCUUCCUGGUCCAACACUGACACUGAGGCGCGAAAGCGUGGGUAGCGAACAGGAUUAGAUACCCUGGUAGUCCACGCUGUAAACGAUGAGAACUAGAUGUUGGGAGGUUUAACCUCUCAGUGUCGCAGCUAACGCGUUAAGUUCUCCGCCUGGGGAGUACGGCCGCAAGGUUG
Molecule: ribosomal RNA, 371 nt
Filed under: uncultured organism
Description: bacterial SSU rRNA
Rfam family: Bacterial small subunit ribosomal RNA
Source: RNAcentral